GACGAACGCUGGCGGCGUGCCUAAUACAUGCAAGUUGAGCGCUGAAGGUUGGUACUUGUACCAACUGGAUGAGCAGCGAACGGGUGAGUAACGCGUGGGGAAUCUGCCUUUGAGCGGGGGACAACAUUUGGAAACGAAUGCUAAUACCGCAUAAAAACUUUAAACACAAGUUUUAAGUUUGAAAGAUGCAAUUGCAUCACUCAAAGAUGAUCCCGCGUUGUAUUAGCUAGUUGGUGAGGUAAAGGCUCACCAAGGCGAUGAUACAUAGCCGACCUGAGAGGGUGAUCGGCCACAUUGGGACUGAGACACGGCCCAAACUCCUACGGGAGGCAGCAGUAGGGAAUCUUCGGCAAUGGACGAAAGUCUGACCGAGCAACGCCGCGUGAGUGAAGAAGGGUUUCGGAUCGUAAAACUCUGUUGGUAGAGAAGAAAGUUGGUGAGAGUGGAAAGCUCAUCAAGUGACGGUAACUACACAGAAAGGGACGGCUAACUACGUG
RNAcentral lists this ribosomal RNA (497 nucleotides) under uncultured bacterium. Its description in RNAcentral is "partial 16S ribosomal RNA". It matches the Rfam family "Bacterial small subunit ribosomal RNA", at positions 28 to 507 of the family's 1533-position model. The record is from RNAcentral.